Molecule: long non-coding RNA, 451 nt
Organism: Heterocephalus glaber (naked mole-rat)
Lineage: Eukaryota; Metazoa; Chordata; Mammalia; Rodentia; Bathyergidae
Source: Ensembl
AUUUUCCUAGUUCCCUUUUAAAUGACUGCGGAAAAACAGAUUCUCUGAGCCGCAAAUGGAAAGAAGGAUUCUCAGACGAGACUCGCGAAAGCCCCGCAGCCACCAUUUAACUGCGCCCGCACAGCAGCUGAACCAAGCCCGGCUUCCAUUUCUAAAAGGGUGACAGUCUCCACUGUGGUGGCAGAAGGGACCUCUGUGGGAACUAGGGGCCGAGAGGCGUCGAGCGGCGGAACGGUCCGUGCCAGAGACUAAUUUUCUGGAGUUUCUGCCCCUGCUCUGCGUCAGCCCUCACGUCACUUCGCCAGCAGUAGCAGAGGCGGCGGCGGCGGCGGCUCCCGGAAUUGGGCUGGAGCCGGAGCCGGAGCCGGAGCCGGAGCCUCGCCGCUCCUUCUCGCGCGCGCCGCGCUCCGAGCCAACGGCAAGAGGAGCCUGGACCCGGGCGCAGAGCUGG